Gallus gallus (chicken) is the source of this 3894-nucleotide long non-coding RNA. RefSeq lists it as uncharacterized. The record is from RefSeq and is a predicted model, not a curated record. NCBI's taxonomy places the organism in Eukaryota, Metazoa, Chordata, Aves, Galliformes, Phasianidae. The transcript is spliced from 2 exons.
AAGGAAGCUCCGGGCUCAGCCUUACCACCUGAGGCACGCACAGGUGCCUCCCGCGCCUCAGAACCCGCACCGGGCCCGGAGAGCGGCAGCCCUGGACACAUCUACCCGAACCGGCACCCGCAGCGAUGGGACGCAGCUCCGGAACCUGACGGAAGGCCCAAACGCGGAGCUGUCCCGGGGCCCAGCACACACGGCCGCAGGGACAUGAUGGCUGUGCCAAGGACCAAUGUGGAGGCGGCAGCUUCUCGGGCUUUGAGGCACGGCAGGACACGUUCCAUGCCACAAGAGCCACAGGGUCGGGCUGGGCUGCUGCUCCCUGCCCUUCCAUCCUUUGGAGGCUGUCAGCCUUACCUGAAUCACAACAACCAGGCAGAGCAAGGCAAACAGCUCUUCCUGAAGCCGCUAGAGAUACAGGUGCUGGUGUUGCAACUCCUUCCAGCUUCAGCCAAGCUCACGUGUACCAAGAGACACAAAAAACAGCUCUCACCUCAGACUUCCCCCAGUCUAAUUGCUGUGAUGUACUGCUGUGGUGCCUCCAGGGACCGCGAGCCCUCACUGUUCUCAACAGCGCCGCACAGCCACAGAACAUACUGAGGCUGGAGGCAGCGUUGGUUCCAGGGCUCAGUGUACUCACAACCCAUAUGUCUGGCUGCCACUUAAGGUCCACAACACCAACGUCAACACUGCGUGUUGGUUGUGAUCAUAAGCUGUGCCCUGAAGAAUGUGCAGGAAGGGAAGCUAUGUGGAGGGCCUGGUUGGAUCUGGAGGUGGGAGGAAGGUGAAGAGACCCCUCUGCAUCCCCCCCAUGUGGUAUACUCCUGCUGCCCACGGAGAAGAGCCAAGCCUGGGAUAGCUCCCAGUUUAAGUGUAAAAAGGCAGGAGUGCCUCUUGAACACUUUCUGCCUCUCCUGAAACACAAAGUCUUUAUACUGGAAUGCACUCCACAGGAAAAAAAUACCUCUCUCCCCAUCACAACGUGAAUACCCUGAAGACUCAGCUUCUUCCUUGCAUGCUUCCUCUUUAAAUCUAAAGGUAUGAAUCUGCAGCUAGGAACCAAUGGUUAGAAGAAAGCACCACCUCACCAGAGCAAGCUCAAGGAGCUGCAUCUAUGCAGGAUGGGACCCUCUGUGCUGCUUGCCUUCACUGUCUGUAUACAGCUGCAUGGCCAUUUACCUCCUUGUAAAGCAGUCACCUCUGUGGUAUCACGUCAAGGAGCAGGGUGCCAGUGGCAGGAUGUGCUGGUGUCUCUGAAGAGCAUGGAAAGUAAAAAUGAGAGAAAUGGCUGGCCUUGCAAAAUAAAUAAAUAAAGUCACUCUGGCCCUUACUUUCUUCUUCCCCGCAAGUUCAGUGGCAUGGACACUGCUGCCCCAGCCAGCACGGGCUGCUGAGGGAAACUGCUGAUGGAAGUUGUAUCCCGCGGAUAAGGGGGGCAAAGAGGAGGGAAGUACUCGUCAUGCUCCCACGUAACCAGAAAUGAUUUCUGAGUGCUGCUGGCCAUCGUUGGUUUCUGGACACUGGGACUGGUACUGGGAGGAGCAGGGCAGAGAAGGACUGACAGGAGCCAAUUGUAAUGAGAGCUGGCUGUAGGAAAGGAGGAGCAUUACCAGCACCAGAGCACCUCAUCUUCCUCUCCAGCAGGUAUCUCUCAGAGGUGCGUUAUUAACAUAUAGCAGGUCUGUCAGCCAAUAAGUAUGCUUGUGCAACAUCCCUUUCAACCUGUCAAAGACAAGCCAGCAGUACAAAUGUCACCUGCUCCCUAAAUGAUCAGGACAGCUCACUCUGUCCAUUUCCUAAGAACAAGGCAGGAAUGAGAUGCUAGCUUGUGUAGAAAGGUUGCCUUUCCCCUUGCCCCUGCAGGAAUUAGCAGACCUUAGGUUGGGAACCUGCAUUCCAGCAUCUCUGGAGGACAUCCAGCAGCAGAUGUUUCAAGAGGUGACAUCAGGAGCCACAUGCUAAAUAAUUAUGGCAAAACCCAUCUGCAUGGAAACUCCCCAGCUUUCAGAAACUGGAGCAUUUAUGUCCAUCCAAGUUACCUUAAGCUCAAAGAGGAAAUAGAGAACAAAGUCUAUCAUGGUGUGUUUGCAUAAAUCCAUGUUGCACUUACAUCCUGAAUCUUAUGUGGCUGAAACUGCAUGACCACAUAGCUCACAUAGAACUGGGAAGUUCAUAGCACAGCUACAAAAGCAUCCAUAUGCAGCAGUCUCAUUGGUUUGAUCCUAGAGAGGAUUGCUUUCUACUUACAGGCACUUGUAGGUAUGGAGUUGCUCCUUCUGUGGGUCUGCCUGGCACCGGCCAGGCCAAUGCCUGUUUCUAAGCAUCUCUCCCCUUUCUCCUGCAAGGGAAGAGACAUUAACUGUAAACCCAACUUUUUAUUUCUCUGUUUUGGUGGCAACAGACUUCAGAAGAAUCACUAUGUUCCCAGGGCAUGGCUGCAGCUGAUCUCUGCAGGUGCAUCAUGGCAGCAACCAGCUUCCUUGCAGGGGAAAGCCUCAUCCAGCACAUUGCAGGUCUUCUGCUUUUCAUGACAUGUAACGGUAAUGCGCCAUUCUAGCGAGCUAAUUAUGUGUGAAGGCUUCACCAGGUUUCCCUUGAGUAGGCACCAUAUGAUGCCAGUAAGUGGAACACACCUUUCCUUCUCAUCUCCAGUUAUUGGGCCUUGCGUGAACCAAUUCACUUGCACAAGUGGAACAACCAGUAAUUAAAAAAACAAAACAAAAAAAAAACCAACUGUGAAGUGUUCCAAGGCUCAUGCAGCAGGACCGUGGGACUAAAACAACCGCUCCCUCCCCAUCACAUGCAAAGUGAUAUCUUUCCUCAUGAGCAGAGCUGGCCCUCCCUAGAGCUUGCAGUCCUUGGUGUUGGAUUGAAUGCUUCAUGCUGAGGUAGGGAAGGGGAACACGUUCACACACACACACACACACAAAAAAAAAGUUAGCUGUAAAAUUAAUGGUUGUUUACAGAGGGAAAGCUAACGUCCCCUAACAAAAAUCCAGUGUGAGCUUGAACCAUCCAAGCUCACAAGGCUAUGCACAAUGCUUUCUCUCAUGCCAAAAGAAAUAUUUUGAUUUGAGCAGCUGUAAUGCACAGGCAUAGCUUUCUUUUUGUUUGUUUCCUUUAAAAAGUUUAGAAAGCAAAGGCCUGAGGAAAGGCUUGCUGUGCAUAGCUGAUCUAGCAGCUUAAUGAAAAUCCUAGUCUGAUGAAAAAUGCCUAAUGAAGAGCGAGCCAAGGCUGGGAGGUGGGAGUCUGCAGCCAGCUGGGGACAGACUUACCCCCCAGCUGCCCUCUGCAGAGCUACGCUGUGGGAGGCUGGUGAGGGCCACCCACCGAGGUGGAUUACCUGCUCUAUAACCUUCAGAUCAGAUUACACACAGCACAUGCAAAACUCUUUUCCUGGCUCCUUGGAAGCAUGCAUUGGGCUCUGCUCCUACAGGGGGGAUUCUGCAUCACAGCUGCAACUUUUGCUCAGUGUGAUUUUGCCAUGUGGGUCAAGUCUGAUCGUGAACAGAGGCUUUUGCUAUCAUGCUCAGUUUGAAGGGACAGGUGUGACUGAGGUCACAGAGGGGAAUCCUUCAUUUUUAAAAGUAAUAACCAAGAAGUUAACUGGAAACAAUUCACAACCACAGAGCUACAGCUCAGUCUAGCACAAUUGGGUAAUACACUAGAACAACAUGAAUACCAGUAAUUAUAACCUGGGUGCUACCCAAGAUAACUUGUACCAACAAAGCUGGGUGCUUUGAUUGGGUUAUUUGAUUAUUAAGGCAUUUCUUUUGUUAUUUGCACUCUGCUGCAUCUCAGAAUAUCAAAGCGAUUAUUUCACUUGCAUCAAUAUUUUGCACUAUUUCUAUUUUAUCUGUAAGUAAAGAAAUAAAGAAAAAGUCAUUGUUGCCAGAUGAA